UCGGUGCACUCUAAAAAUAUCCUUUAUUCAAAAUAACUUAAAUAUCCCUUAAUAUUCCUAAUACAAGUCUAAAUAAAAACAGUCGACAUUUUAACGCGAGUUCAGAAUCUUCAUCUUAUUUUGGGUAAAGCCCAUUAUUUUGUAUAGUAUCCUCUAAAUGUAUCGCAUAAAAUGAAAAACUUUCGAAAAUUAUUGUUACGUUUUCCAACACUUUUUUAGGAGUUUAUGCGUCCCGAUUUAAAUGUGGAUAUUUCGAAUAAGGGAUAUUAAUUCGUCGGGAGUUAUUUCGCCCGUGAGACAGUUUGAGGGGAAUCGUUAUACGCCACGUUAUCGAUGUAUAAUAAUCUUAUUAUUGUCGUUGAGUAUCCGUGAAAUGCGUAUUAGAUAUAAGACCUAACUACGAUGAUAAUAUAAUAUUCUAUUAUUUUGAGAACCCGCGGAGUGUAU
Non-coding RNA from Cinara cedri, 447 nucleotides. Lineage: Eukaryota; Metazoa; Arthropoda; Insecta; Hemiptera; Aphididae. The record is from the annotation of a GenBank genome assembly.